GGGUUGUGAGGUUAAGCGACUAAGCGUACACGGUGGAUGCCCUGGCAGUCAGAGGCGAUGAAGGACGUGCUAAUCUGCGAUAAGCGUCGGUAAGGUGAUAUGAACCGUUAUAACCGGCGAUUUCCGAAUGGGGAAACCCAGUGUGUUUCGACACACUAUCAUUAACUGAAUCCAUAGGUUAAUGAGGCGAACCGGGGGAACUGAAACAUCUAAGUACCCCGAGGAAAAGAAAUCAACCGAGAUUCCCCCAGUAGCGGCGAGCGAACGGGGAGCAGCCCAGAGCCUGAAUCAGUGUGUGUGUUAGUGGAAGCGUCUGGAAAGGCGCGCGAUACAGGGUGACAGCCCCGUACACAAAAAUGCACAUAUUGUGAGCUCGAUGAGUAGGGCGGGACACGUGGUAUCCUGUCUGAAUAUGGGGGGACCAUCCUCCAAGGCUAAAUACUCCUGACUGACCGAUAGUGAACCAGUACCGUGAGGGAAAGGCGAAAAGAACCCCGGCGAGGGGAGUGAAAAAGAACCUGAAACCGUGUACGUACAAGCAGUGGGAGCACGCUUCGGCGUGUGACUGCGUACCUUUUGUAUAAUGGGUCAGCGACUUAUAUUCUGUAGCAAGGUUAACCGAAUAGGGGAGCCGAAGGGAAACCGAGUCUUAACUGGGCGUUAAGUUGCAGGGUAUAGACCCGAAACCCGGUGAUCUAGCCAUGGGCAGGUUGAAGGUUGGGUAACACUAACUGGAGGACCGAACCGACUAAUGUUGAAAAAUUAGCGGAUGACUUGUGGCUGGGGGUGAAAGGCCAAUCAAACCGGGAGAUAGCUGGUUCUCCCCGAAAGCUAUUUAGGUAGCGCCUCGUGAAUUCAUCUCCGGGGGUAGAGCACUGUUUCGGCAAGGGGGUCAUCCCGACUUACCAACCCGAUGCAAACUGCGAAUACCGGAGAAUGUUAUCACGGGAGACACACGGCGGGUGCUAACGUCCGUCGUGAAGAGGGAAACAACCCAGACCGCCAGCUAAGGUCCCAAAGUCAUGGUUAAGUGGGAAACGAUGUGGGAAGGCCCAGACAGCCAGGAUGUUGGCUUAGAAGCAGCCAUCAUUUAAAGAAAGCGUAAUAGCUCACUGGUCGAGUCGGCCUGCGCGGAAGAUGUAACGGGGCUAAACCAUGCACCGAAGCUGCGGCAGCGACACUAUGUGUUGUUGGGUAGGGGAGCGUUCUGUAAGCCUGUGAAGGUGUGCUGUGAGGCAUGCUGGAGGUAUCAGAAGUGCGAAUGCUGACAUAAGUAACGAUAAAGCGGGUGAAAAGCCCGCUCGCCGGAAGACCAAGGGUUCCUGUCCAACGUUAAUCGGGGCAGGGUGAGUCGACCCCUAAGGCGAGGCCGAAAGGCGUAGUCGAUGGGAAACAGGUUAAUAUUCCUGUACUUGGUGUUACUGCGAAGGGGGGACGGAGAAGGCUAUGUUGGCCGGGCGACGGUUGUCCCGGUUUAAGCGUGUAGGCUGGUUUUCCAGGCAAAUCCGGAAAAUCAAGGCUGAGGCGUGAUGACGAGGCACUACGGUGCUGAAGCAACAAAUGCCCUGCUUCCAGGAAAAGCCUCUAAGCAUCAGGUAACAUCAAAUCGUACCCCAAACCGACACAGGUGGUCAGGUAGAGAAUACCAAGGCGCUUGAGAGAACUCGGGUGAAGGAACUAGGCAAAAUGGUGCCGUAACUUCGGGAGAAGGCACGCUGAUAUGUAGGUGAAGUCCCUCGCGGAUGGAGCUGAAAUCAGUCGAAGAUACCAGCUGGCUGCAACUGUUUAUUAAAAACACAGCACUGUGCAAACACGAAAGUGGACGUAUACGGUGUGACGCCUGCCCGGUGCCGGAAGGUUAAUUGAUGGGGUCAGCGCAAGCGAAGCUCUUGAUCGAAGCCCCGGUAAACGGCGGCCGUAACUAUAACGGUCCUAAGGUAGCGAAAUUCCUUGUCGGGUAAGUUCCGACCUGCACGAAUGGCGUAAUGAUGGCCAGGCUGUCUCCACCCGAGACUCAGUGAAAUUGAACUCGCUGUGAAGAUGCAGUGUACCCGCGGCAAGACGGAAAGACCCCGUGAACCUUUACUAUAGCUUGACACUGAACAUUGAGCCUUGAUGUGUAGGAUAGGUGGGAGGCUUUGAAGUGUGGACGCCAGUCUGCAUGGAGCCGACCUUGAAAUACCACCCUUUAAUGUUUGAUGUUCUAACGUUGACCCGUAAUCCGGGUUGCGGACAGUGUCUGGUGGGUAGUUUGACUGGGGCGGUCUCCUCCUAAAGAGUAACGGAGGAGCACGAAGGUUGGCUAAUCCUGGUCGGACAUCAGGAGGUUAGUGCAAUGGCAUAAGCCAGCUUGACUGCGAGCGUGACGGCGCGAGCAGGUGCGAAAGCAGGUCAUAGUGAUCCGGUGGUUCUGAAUGGAAGGGCCAUCGCUCAACGGAUAAAAGGUACUCCGGGGAUAACAGGCUGAUACCGCCCAAGAGUUCAUAUCGACGGCGGUGUUUGGCACCUCGAUGUCGGCUCAUCACAUCCUGGGGCUGAAGUAGGUCCCAAGGGUAUGGCUGUUCGCCAUUUAAAGUGGUACGCGAGCUGGGUUUAGAACGUCGUGAGACAGUUCGGUCCCUAUCUGCCGUGGGCGCUGGAGAACUGAGGGGGGCUGCUCCUAGUACGAGAGGACCGGAGUGGACGCAUCACUGGUGUUCGGGUUGUCAUGCCAAUGGCACUGCCCGGUAGCUAAAUGCGGAAGAGAUAAGUGCUGAAAGCAUCUAAGCACGAAACUUGCCCCGAGAUGAGUUCUCCCUGACCCUUUAAGGGUCCUGAAGGAACGUUGAAGACGACGACGUUGAUAGGCCGGGUGUGUAAGCGCAGCGAUGCGUUGAGCUAACCGGUACUAAUGAACCGUGAGGCUUAACCUUACAACGCCGAAGCUGUU
RNAcentral lists this ribosomal RNA (2929 nucleotides) under Escherichia coli. RNAcentral's name for it is "23S ribosomal RNA". It matches the Rfam family "Bacterial large subunit ribosomal RNA". Lineage: Bacteria; Pseudomonadati; Pseudomonadota; Gammaproteobacteria; Enterobacterales; Enterobacteriaceae. The record is from RNAcentral.